This 286-nucleotide ribosomal RNA is filed under the name Blastocystis sp. RNAcentral's name for it is "partial small subunit ribosomal RNA". It matches the Rfam family "Eukaryotic small subunit ribosomal RNA", at positions 42 to 348 of the family's 1831-position model. Lineage: Eukaryota; Bigyra; Opalinata; Blastocystidae. The record is from RNAcentral.
GAUUAAGCCAUGCAUGUGUAAGUAUAAAUAGUUAACUUUGAAACUGCGAAUGGCUCAUUAUAUCAGUUAUAGUUUAUUUGAUGAAGAAUACUAAUUGGAUAACCGUAGUAAUUCUAGAGCUAAUACAUGUGAUAAGUCUUGUAGACUGCAUUUAUUAGAAUGAAAACCAUAGGUUUCGGCCUAUUCGUGAGUAAUAAUAACUAAUCAUAUCGUAUGCUUAAGUAACGAUGUGUCUUUCAAGUUUCUGCCCUAUCAGCUUUCGAUGGUAGUGUAUUGGACUACCAUG